RNAcentral lists this long non-coding RNA (1119 nucleotides) under Homo sapiens (human). Its description in RNAcentral is "HSALNT0301645". The record is from RNAcentral. Lineage: Eukaryota; Metazoa; Chordata; Mammalia; Primates; Hominidae.
AUGACUGCUGAGAAGAAUUGGAAAGGGACUGGAAGCAAUGAUGGCUAAAGAAUCUCGAGAAGGAAGACAGACUAUACAUAUUUUUUCUAGGAAAUUAAAAGAUUGCCUGUUUUGUAGUAGAGAGAUGCUUCUCAGGACGUCGUGGGAUCACACUGUUCAGACUGAUUUCCAACAGGCACAGCGUGAAUUGUACAGUAACUUGUUAAGAGGUCACCUAGACGUUCUCUUAGGUUCCUUUCUCCUACAGAAGCUAAGGGGACCGUCUGUUAAAAACUCCAUGGAGCCAUAAAAUGGCAGAACAUUUUGUCCAGGAUUCCUCUGCAGUGAGAUGAUUCCCUCCACCUGAUCUGUAUGCCACCUGACCCUCACCUUGUAUCAUUCUGUGAGAAAAAAGGAACACCAAAGAUGAUUUGUUGGUUUUCCAGUGCAAGAGUGAUCCCUCCUUCGUUUUUACCAAAAAGAGGGCUAUUUAACUGGAUACCAGGAGAAGCAAAUUGCUGAUCCAGUCAUGGAUGUUUUACCCCAUUAUUUAGUUCCACUCUACAUGGAAUUUAUUUGGAAGAUUCUCAAUGCACUUGCAUUCAAACAUAAAGACCUAAUGACUCUCAUUGCAGCAGUAUUCCUCUUGUAUUGUUAUUUUCUUAACUUCGGAUUUCCUCCAUUUCUGCACUUUUUGCCAUCUGGAAUUUCAUUUGCAAGGGCAGAUAAGGGGAAAAGAAUGUAAUAAGAGACGAGGAAAAAUAUAAGCCCUUGCUGAAUGAUUGAUAUGAAUGAAGGAACUGAUGGAAUAAAUAACAAAAAUAAAAAGAUCCAGGACUACUCUCAGUCUCUGAAGCAGGUGGGAGCCCUGGCGGUAGCUAUGGGUCCAGUUCAAAGGAUUAUGAAAUGCACUGCUUUCACAUCAAAAAGGAAGAAGAAAGGCAAUACUUGCAACCAAUGAUAAAGAGGUAUUCUGACUUUCAUCUGCCUUUGUGUUAAGCGUGAGAGAGCCAGACAGAAUUGCAGCAGGAACCAGAAGGAGCAAAGAAAAAGAUUACUGUUUCUUUUAUAAAAUGGUUUUUAUCCUACUGGUGUCUCUUUAAAAAUAAAAAUCAACAAAUAAAUGUCCAUUUAAAUUGA